GAUGAACGCUGGCGGCGUGCCUAAUACAUGCAAGUCGAGCGAACAGACGAGGAGCUUGCUCCUUUGACGUUAGCGGCGGACGGGUGAGUAACACGUGGGUAACCUACCUAUAAGACUGGGAUAACUUCGGGAAACCGGAGCUAAUACCGGAUAAUAUUUCGAACCGCAUGGUUCGAUAGUGAAAGAUGGCUUUGCUAUCACUUAUAGAUGGACCUGCGCCGUAUUAGCUAGUUGGUAAGGUAACGGCUUACCAAGGCAACGAUACGUAGCCGACCUGAGAGGGUGAUCGGCCACACUGGAACUGAGACACGGUCCAGACUCCUACGGGAGGCAGCAGUAGGGAAUCUUCCGCAAUGGGCGAAAGCCUGACGGAGCAACGCCGCGUGAGUGAUGAAGGUCUUCGGAUCGUAAAACUCUGCUAUUAGGGAAGAACAAACGUGUAAGUAACUGUGCACGUCUUGACGGUACCUAAUCAGAAAGCCACGGCUAACUACGUG
RNAcentral lists this ribosomal RNA (497 nucleotides) under uncultured bacterium. RNAcentral's name for it is "partial 16S ribosomal RNA". It matches the Rfam family "Bacterial small subunit ribosomal RNA", at positions 28 to 507 of the family's 1533-position model. The record is from RNAcentral.